This 950-nucleotide ribosomal RNA is filed under the name Lactobacillus sp. 1266(BF2)B03. Its description in RNAcentral is "bacterial SSU rRNA". It matches the Rfam family "Bacterial small subunit ribosomal RNA", at positions 74 to 1009 of the family's 1533-position model. Lineage: Bacteria; Bacillati; Bacillota; Bacilli; Lactobacillales; Lactobacillaceae. The record is from RNAcentral.
UUGACGUUGGAUUCCCAGUGAGCGGCGGACGGGUGAGUAACACGUGGGCAACCUGCCCUGAAGCGGGGGAUAACAUCUGGAAACAGGUGCUAAUACCGCAUAACAACGAAAACCACAUGGUUUUCGUUUCAAAGAUGGUUUCGGCUAUCACUUCAGGAUGGGCCCGCGGUGCAUUAGCUAGUUGGUAAGGUAACGGCUUACCAAGGCGAUGAUGCAUAGCCGAGUUGAGAGACUGAUCGGCCACAAUGGAACUGAGACACGGUCCAUACUCCUACGGGAGGCAGCAGUAGGGAAUCUUCCACAAUGGGCGCAAGCCUGAUGGAGCAACACCGCGUGAGUGAAGAAGGGUUUCGGCUCGUAAAGCUCUGUUGUUGGAGAAGAACGUGCGUGAGAGUAACUGUUCACGCAGUGACGGUAUCCAACCAGAAAGUCACGGCUAACUACGUGCCAGCAGCCGCGGUAAUACGUAGGUGGCAAGCGUUAUCCGGAUUUAUUGGGCGUAAAGCGAGCGCAGGCGGUUGCUUAGGUCUGAUGUGAAAGCCUUCGGCUUAACCGAAGAAGUGCAUCGGAAACCGGGCGACUUGAGUGCAGAAGAGGACAGUGGAACUCCAUGUGUAGCGGUGGAAUGCGUAGAUAUAUGGAAGAACACCAGUGGCGAAGGCGGCUGUCUGGUCUGCAACUGACGCUGAGGCUCGAAAGCAUGGGUAGCGAACAGGAUUAGAUACCCUGGUAGUCCAUGCCGUAAACGAUGAGUGCUAGGUGUUGGAGGGUUUCCGCCCUUCAGUGCCGGAGCUAACGCAUUAAGCACUCCGCCUGGGGAGUACGACCGCAAGGUUGAAACUCAAAGGAAUUGACGGGGGCCCGCACAAGCGGUGGAGCAUGUGGUUUAAUUCGAAGCUACGCGAAGAACCUUACCAGGUCUUGACAUCUUGCGCUAACCUAAGAGAUUA